Molecule: small nuclear RNA, 80 nt
Filed under: Mus caroli (Ryukyu mouse)
Lineage: Eukaryota; Metazoa; Chordata; Mammalia; Rodentia; Muridae
Description: snRNA (MGP_CAROLIEiJ_G0035637.1)
Source: RNAcentral
CAGCUGAAACAAUACAGAGUAGAUUAGUGUGGUCCUUAUGCAAUGGUGAUAGACAACAUUGUCAAAUGUUUCAUAUGUUU